CUAGGGUUUUCAUGGGUUUUUCUUGGGUUUUCAGCGUUUUUUAGGGUUUUCUAGGGUUUUUUAUGGUUCUUAUGAUUUUUUAGGGUUUUCUAGAGUUUUUGGGGUUUUUAUGAUUUUCUAGGAUUUUUUAUGAUUUUCUAGGGUUUUUAGGGUUUUCUAGGAUUUUUUACGAUUUUCUAGGGUUUUUUAGUUUUUUUUAGGGUUUCUUAGGAUUCUCUACGAUUUUUAAGGAUUUUUUGGGUUUUCUAGGAUUUUUUGGAGUCCUUUAUGAUUUUUUAGGGUUUUUAGGGUGUUCAGGGUUUUUUCGGAUUGUCUAGGGAUUUUUCGAUUUGUUAGGGUUUUCUAUUCUUUUUUAGGGUUUUUGAGGGUUUUCUAUUCCUUUUUAGGGUUUUUAUUUUUUAGGAGUUUUUUUGGGUUUUCUAGAAUUUUUAGAUUUUUAUGGUUUUUAGGAUUUUCUUGGGUUUUCGGGUUUUUUUGGGUUUUCUAAGGGUUUUUAGGAUUUUCUAGUGUUUUUAAGGUUUUU
This is a long non-coding RNA of Arachis duranensis, 523 nucleotides long. RefSeq lists it as uncharacterized. The transcript has 3 exons. Lineage: Eukaryota; Viridiplantae; Streptophyta; Magnoliopsida; Fabales; Fabaceae. The record is from RefSeq and is a predicted model, not a curated record.